GACGAACGCUGGCGGCGUGCUUAACACAUGCAAGUCGAACGGAAAGGCCCUGCUUUUGUGGGGUGCUCGAGUGGCGAACGGGUGAGUAACACGUGAGUAACCUGCCCUUGACUUUGGGAUAACUUCAGGAAACUGGGGCUAAUACCGGAUAGGAGCUCCUGCUGCAUGUUGGGGGUUGGAAAGUUUCGGCGGUUGGGGAUGGACUCGCGGCUUAUCAGCUGGUUGGGGGGGUAGGGGCUUACCAAGCGUUUGACGGGUAGCCGGCCUGAGAGGGUGACCGGCCACAUUGGGACUGAGGUACGGCCCAGACUCCUACGGGAGGCAGCAGUGGGGAGUCUUGCACAAUGGGCGGAAGCCUGAUGCAGCAACGCCGCGUGCGGGAUGACGGCCUUCGAGUUGUAAACCGCUUUCGCCUGUGACGAAGCGUGAGUGACGGUAAUGGGUAAAGAAGCACCGGCUAACUACGUG
This 468-nucleotide ribosomal RNA is filed under the name uncultured bacterium. RNAcentral describes it as "partial 16S ribosomal RNA". It matches the Rfam family "Bacterial small subunit ribosomal RNA", at positions 28 to 507 of the family's 1533-position model. The record is from RNAcentral.